Molecule: ribosomal RNA, 253 nt
Filed under: uncultured bacterium
Lineage: Bacteria
Description: partial 16S ribosomal RNA
Rfam family: Bacterial small subunit ribosomal RNA
Source: RNAcentral
UACGGAGGGUGCAAGCGUUAUCCGGAUUCACUGGGGUUAAAGGGUGCGUAGGAGGGCAGGUAAGUCAGUGGUGAAAUCCCCGAGCUUAACUUGGGAACUGCCGUUGAUACUAUCUGUCUUGAAUACCGUGGAGGUGAGCGGAAUAUGUCAUGUAGCGGUGAAAUGCUUAGAUAUGACAUAGAACACCAAUUGCGAAGGCAGCUCGCUACACGAAUAUUGACUCUGAGGCACGAAAGCGUGGGGAUCAAACAGG